GUUUUGCAUGACUGACGGAUAAUGUGGGUUACCACAGGGGAGUGCAAAAUCAGUAUCAGCCGACCGUCUGGGCAGU
Molecule: non-coding RNA, 76 nt
Filed under: human gut metagenome
Description: ZMP/ZTP riboswitch
Rfam family: ZMP/ZTP riboswitch aptamer (pfl RNA motif)
About the family: Previously known as pfl RNA. ZMP is also known as AICAR.
Source: RNAcentral